RNAcentral lists this ribosomal RNA (397 nucleotides) under uncultured bacterium. Its description in RNAcentral is "partial 16S ribosomal RNA". It matches the Rfam family "Bacterial small subunit ribosomal RNA", at positions 523 to 918 of the family's 1533-position model. The record is from RNAcentral.
AUACGUAGGGGGCGAGCGUUGUCCGGAAUGAUUGGGCGUAAAGGGCGCGUAGGCGGCGCGGUAAGUCUGGAGUGAAAGUCCUGCUUUCAAGGUGGGAAUUGCUUUGGAUACUGCCGCGCUUGAGUGCAGGAGAGGUUAUCGGAAUUCCCGGUGUAGCGGUGAAAUGCGUAGAGAUCGGGAGGAACACCAGUGGCGAAGGCGGGUAACUGGACUGCAACUGACGCUGAGGCGCGAAAGUGUGGGGAGCAAACAGGAUUAGAUUCCCUGGUAGUCCACACUGUAAACGAUGAAUGCUAGGUGUAAGAGGUAUCGACCCCUUUUGUGCCGGAGUCAACACAAUAAGCAUUCCGCCUGGGGAGUACGGCCGCAAGGUUGAAACUCAAAUGAAUUGGCGGGG